This 447-nucleotide long non-coding RNA is filed under the name Penaeus japonicus. RNAcentral describes it as "uncharacterized LOC122254822". Lineage: Eukaryota; Metazoa; Arthropoda; Malacostraca; Decapoda; Penaeidae. The record is from RNAcentral.
AUGGCAUUUCGCCCUGAAAAAAGAACCAUCGACUCAGUCUGUCAAGUCAGUUUGUAAACAAUGGCAGAAUAUUUAGCAUCGAUUUUCGGCACUGAGAAGGACAAAGUCAACUGCAGUUUCUACUUCAAGAUAGGAGCUUGUAGGCAUGGCGACCGUUGUUCCAGGAUCCACAACAAGCCAACAUUUAGUCAGCUAUGUAUGAUCACUCUGAGCCCAGGUUAUCAUACGUAUGCAGCAAACGCAACUCCAGUGUGUGCAUACAGUUGGUAGAUCGCAAGAUGGGUUAGUAUGCCUCUGUUAUUUGCACUUGUGUCCACCAGUUCAGUUUAACGUGAAGUCAUGAGUGCCAUUCCGUGACUCAUACGCAGUUGUGUGGUUGCCCUCUCUCUCUCUCUCUCUCCCUCUCUCUCUCUCUCUCUCUCUCUCUCUCUCUCUCUCUCUCUCUCU